Long non-coding RNA from Labrus mixtus (cuckoo wrasse), 400 nucleotides. RefSeq lists it as uncharacterized. NCBI's taxonomy places the organism in Eukaryota, Metazoa, Chordata, Actinopteri, Labriformes, Labridae. The transcript has 2 exons. The record is from RefSeq and is a predicted model, not a curated record.
AUCGGGUGCGUUCGAAUUGUCCCUCCUAUCUCCUUUCACUAUCCACUUUACCUUAACCCCGGGGAAAACGUCAUGAGGUUAAUGACGUGGGUCCGCCGUGUUGAAACUACAAUGUUCUGAAAAUGGACUACAAAAAACACAUCUAAAAAACUUUCCCCUGUGCCUUCUUACCGGUGAAAUAAUCCUAAUUACCACAAGGUUGGGAUUGAAAUAAAAGAAAUAUAGACUACCAGGCUACAAGUAAGAAAAGUGAAACCAUCAGCUUCCUGUCCAAUCAGAAAUCAACAUCAAAAUAAGUAUGAAAUUAAUUGUUACAUUUAUGUAAGACAAGAAUGUACAACUGAAGAAAUGCACAAAACAUUCUGAAUUGAAUGAAAUAUGUUGAAUAAAACAUCAUCUG